CCUGGAUCUCUGCCUUAAUGUCUAGGGCGCUGCGUGUGAUCUCCCCCGCCAGAAACGUUCUCACCUCUGCUAACUGCUGGAGGAUUUGCGCGGUCGUGUCGCCAGUCUGUCCGGGCUGUCCCCUGUCUGUGUCUGCAGGUGGGGAGUGGGAGCCUCGUGUGCCCGUCCGGCAGCCAUGUUGUGCGGCCUGUGUGGCUUUGGAGGCCGCGAACAUGUCUGCCACAGUAGGGGAGGAAUCGAGCGGUUCCCCUCAUUUUUUCCUGCGUGGGGUGGCACUAGGACCCUUGUGGGGCAUGUAGGUG
Pelobates cultripes (western spadefoot toad) is the source of this 302-nucleotide non-coding RNA. NCBI's taxonomy places the organism in Eukaryota, Metazoa, Chordata, Amphibia, Anura, Pelobatidae. The record is from the annotation of a GenBank genome assembly.